Molecule: transfer RNA, 67 nt
Filed under: bovine gut metagenome
Rfam family: tRNA
About the family: Transfer RNA (tRNA) molecules are approximately 80 nucleotides in length. Their secondary structure includes four short double-helical elements and three loops (D, anti-codon, and T loops).
Source: RNAcentral
CAUGUAGCUCAGCAGGAUAGAGCGACCGCCUCCUAAGCGGUAGGUCGGAGGUUCGAAUCCCCUCAUG